Molecule: transfer RNA, 85 nt
Organism: Felis catus (domestic cat)
Lineage: Eukaryota; Metazoa; Chordata; Mammalia; Carnivora; Felidae
Rfam family: tRNA
About the family: Transfer RNA (tRNA) molecules are approximately 80 nucleotides in length. Their secondary structure includes four short double-helical elements and three loops (D, anti-codon, and T loops). Further hydrogen bonds mediate the characteristic L-shaped molecular structure. tRNAs have two regions of fundamental functional importance: the anti-codon, which is responsible for specific mRNA codon recognition, and the 3' end, to which the tRNAs corresponding amino acid is attached (by aminoacyl-tRNA synthetases). tRNAs cope with the degeneracy of the genetic code in two manners: having more than one tRNA (with a specific anti-codon) for a particular amino acid; and 'wobble' base-pairing, i.e. permitting non-standard base-pairing at the 3rd anti-codon position.
Source: Rfam
GCCUGGGUGGCUCAGUCGGUUGAGUGUCUGACUUCAGCUCAGGUCAUCAUCUCGCUGUCUGUGAGUUGGAGCCCCACAUCGGGCU